UUUUUUCUCUUUACAAAGUUGUAUAUAUAUUUUUAACACUGCUUGUUACAUUGUAAUUGUGUAAACACUGCUUCAGGGAGUGAUGAUAAAUUUGACGUCUUUUUCUCUUCUGACUGCCGUAAUCCAUCGCUCUAUUUUUAAUUUUUAUUAUUUUUUUGCUUGUAAAGGCAUGGAAAGGAAAUACUGGAUUUUUUUCUUUCUUUCAACUUGUAAUGCAAAAAGGAUAUUUGCUACAGUCUCCCAUAUACCUCUAUAUAAGUUUACCCUGCUAUACUUGUCAUAAGCCCAGAAAUGGAUGUAUAUGCAUGAACACAAUUCAUUAUAGCUGAUGUAUUGUGUAGCAUGAUUGAAGUGACGUGCAGGUCUUAAAAUUAUUUGUAAAUGUCUUGAAUAUGGUAUUGAUAAGUAUUACAUUUGAAGCGCUGAUACCUGCAGAGACCCUGUCUUGCAAAGAUGUGUGAAAAGAUUCGCAAAGAGUUUAUUGUAAAGCUAUUGUAAAGGAAAUGAGACACUUUGAUUUUGUUAUUUUUGUCCACAGUAGUACAAGCUCAGGAAGGCUUUGCCUAGUUGUUGUCAAACAGAAGAGGUGUGUUCAGUACGCCGUGGUGACACAGUGGCACAAAGACAGACGGCGAUUAAUCAGUAGUUGGGCAUUAUAAUGGUAAACGCCGUAAAAAUGAGCGUUAUCUAUAGACAAAGGUUUCAGCACAAAGAUCGUUGGAUUGCUGGAAAAAAGUUUAUAAUGUGAUGAUAUAUAUAUAUAUAUAUAUAUAUAUAUAUAUAUAUAUAUAUAUAUAUAUAUAUAUAUAUAUAUAUAAUUUUAUGUAUCAAUCUCUCACAGGUAUCAGUAUUAUUCUCAUUACCUUUACCAUUGUUUAUUGUUUAUCUCUCUGCUUUAUUUAUUUAUUUAUUUAUUUGCAUAUGUACCUAUUCAGUAUGUGAAUACAAAGGAGAUCUAGGUAUGUUAAAUGGACUUGCAGACAAACAUAUGGCUUAAAUAAGCCAUAAUAAAGGCCUUACACACACACACACACACACACACACACUCACACACACACACUGCUUUGCUUCAAAUAUACAAAUGCUUUUCGAUGCAGCGACUCUGAAAGAUAUUUAACUGUAUAUAGUGCAAUUUAAAUGAAGCCCAUGACAAAAAUGAUUAUGCAUGUCACACUGGUUCUUCACAACCUAAAUCUACUGUAUUUUAGCUAUACAAUACAAAGUUAUCUAAUCUUUGUAAAGUUGUAUCUAUGUUUUUUUUUCCUCUCCUGGAAACAUAAAAAAAAGUCGUAAAUAUUUGAAUAUAUGUGUAUUAUGUAGGAUAAUCCAUCAUGUGUCUGCUAAAAAGCUCCAACGUGUGCAAUACCUUUUUAUGAAGGUUUGAAAGACUGGAUGAGAAAGUACAAAGUACAAUGUUUAAAUGUUUCUAUCCAUCCACUAUGGAUGCAAAAUAUUGUGUACGUUAUCAUGGUAUUGAAGCUUGUGAAAGAUUCUUGCACAAUCACGACGUACGUAGCUGAUUAUAUUUAUCUUUGUAGAGUUUGUUUUAAGAUUUGGAAUGAAUUUUAUUGGUUAGACUUUUGCUAAACCAAAAAAUAAUAAUAAUUCACACUUCUGUAUUAUAGGAUUGGUGAAUGUACCCGUUAACAGAGUGGUGUUAAACCAUUAAAACAUAAAUGAUUAUUGAAAGCUGCUAAAAUGUUCAAAACCAACUAGCAAGAGAUAAGGAUGGGUGAUUUGGCAAAAAUAUCAUGAUAUCAUGAUCAUAUUUUCACAAUACUCAAUAUACUGGAUAUCAUGAUACUUAGGUUUACAAAUGGGAAAACAGAUAUUUUAAUGAGAGAUGCAAGCGUGCCUACAGUAGCCAUUUUCAUUUGAAUUUGUAUGAAACAAAAUGUUUGCAAUUCCACACCUGCACCAUGUGUAAUGCUUGAUUCUUAUUUUUAAUUUUUUUUAAUUUUAUGUGCCAUGAUUAUUUUUUCUUUGUUUUAUUUUUAUUAUAUUUACACUUUUUUGUUUAUACAUAAUAAUAAAAAAACUGAUAUAAAAAAAUACAUUAUUUAUUUGUUUGUUUGUUUAUUUAUUUAUUUAUUUACUUACCUAUGUAAGUUUGUGUAUGAGAUAAAACCCAAAACAUACUGUUUUUUUUUUUCUAUCAUAAACAUGUGUGUGUAUGUAUGUACUGUAUAUAUGUAAAUCUGUUUUGUUAAUGUGGUCUUGUCUGUAUUGAUUAUUGUAUACAUGUGAUAUGUACAUUUUAAACGAUGUGUACCACGUGGCCAUGGACAUUUUGCAUUUCAAAGGGACCACUUUUGCAUUGUUCAUUUAAGUUUAUGGUAUGUGAUAUAUUUUGUAAUACUAAUGUAAAUGUUGGAUGAAUAAAAUACAUCAUGAAUUCCAUACA
Long non-coding RNA from Ictalurus punctatus (channel catfish), 2404 nucleotides. Lineage: Eukaryota; Metazoa; Chordata; Actinopteri; Siluriformes; Ictaluridae. The record is from Ensembl.